Non-coding RNA from Eublepharis macularius, 3542 nucleotides. NCBI's taxonomy places the organism in Eukaryota, Metazoa, Chordata, Lepidosauria, Squamata, Eublepharidae. The record is from the annotation of a RefSeq genome assembly.
AUUAUUUCAUACCUGUGAUGGUUUAUUUUUGAAGGAAUGGUCUCAACUCCUAUCAACACAACAGUUAUAUCCAUGCAACCCCCGCCCUUCGAAGACCUCUUUAUAAACAAAAGUGCAGCUCUGAUAUGUACGGCACCUCUUGCUGAUACAAUGAUGAAUUGGACAGUCAGUUGGAUUAUGGAUGGAAAACCUGCCAACACACAAGCUGUGACCACGAAAGUCUUGAAUACAUCCACCAACACUUCCUGCCUCUAUAGUCAGUUGUUGGUGAACCUGACUGAAUGGAAAGCCACCGUAAAGUUCACCUGUACCAUUUACAGUGGAUUAGGAGAAGCUAAACAGCUCUACGAGCGAAGGAACGGCACCAUGAAGCACCCCAAAGUCUACCUCCAGCACCAGUCCUCCAAAGAAGACCUAAAUGUAAACUUGCUCUGUAUAGCCACAGAUUUCUACCCCGGAGAAGUUUUUGUACAAUGGCAGAAGGAGAACACAGAGAUGUCACUGAAGGGCCACGAGCCCCAUGACUUGAAAUGUGACCACGAAAGAGAAAGAUGCACUUUCCUGAGCAUUCUCGAGGUCCCCAGAAACCAAUGGACGAUGGGAGCUUCCUACACCUGCCUUGUAGCUCAUGUCUCCUCUGCAAACUUCAUAGUUAGAAGAGUCAGUUCUCAUUCUGAUUCCUGGGACUGGGCCGUCACAAGUACUGAAGUUUGUGUCAUCUGCAAUGAAACAGAAGAUGACUACAGUGAACUAAUUGAGAUGGAUGGUGCCUGGAACAGGGUCUCUACUUACCUGAUCCUGUUUCUUCUUGCACUCUUCUAUGGGGGCCUUGUCACUUUCUUCAAGGUGAAAUAGGCAUCAUGGUCUACUUGCAAUGAAGUAUGAGCCAAGCUUUCCUCUGCAUUAUAAACCUCUCAGAGUUACUCCAUUCUAAUAUUAUCUACUACAACUUUCAGUGCCUGUGCAAUACGACGAAGUAUUCAAGAUGGAAAGCAUUAACUUGAGUGUUGUUUAAUCCUUUGGCAACUUUUGCAAUCAUUUAUGUACAUGAUUUUGCUUCGUAUGCAGAAGACAGUCCGCUAACCACUGAAGAAGACAACAUUAAAUUAUCUUGCAGUGAAAGCAGAAAUAUCGAACUGCAGAUGUGAAUAGUGAAGAGCAAGCCUGCCAGAUCCAGAGAAGAAAGUGUGGUACACAAAACACCUAUAAGUGAAAGAUUCCUCUGUACAUCCAAAGGCUUGAGGGGAAAUCAGAAAAUUGGUAUAAACCACUCCAGCAAACAGUUGACAAGCUCAAAAGUCUGGACUAAAUUUCUGUUGAAUCUAGUUAUGAACUGUAUAUUUGAAAAACCCUUAAUCCCUCUGCAGCAGCAGCAAUAUUGGAAGGUCCUGAAAAGAUGAUGUGUUGAAAUAUUUUGACAAGAGUAGCAUAGAAAGCCUGGGGAAAAAAUGAUGCCUUCAAACUCACGGAUAACAUUUGAUUUCGAUUUAAAUAACAUUUGAUUUAUAUACUGCCUGUCAGGACAACUUAACACCCACUCAGAGUGGUUUACAAAGUGUGUUAUUAUUAUCCUCACGACAAUCACCUUGUGAGGUGGGCAGGGCUGAGAGAGCUCUGGAUGAGCUGGUCAGAUGGGGAAUCAAACCUGGCUCUCCAGAUUAGAGUCCUGCCACUUUUAACCACUACACCAAGUUGGCUCAGGCAGCAAGAAAGUGCAGCUGCUGUGAACAUAAGAAAAGCCCAUAAGACCAGUAGUCUAUUUAUCCCAGCAUUCUGUCUCAUGCAGUGGCCAAUUGGUUACUCGGACAGCCAACAAGGAGGCAUAGGAACCAAGGCUUUCCCCUAAUGUUGUCUCCUGGCACUGGUAUGUGAGAGGUUUAUGGCUUCUGGAAGUUCCCUUCAGUCCCCAUGACUAGUGGCUGAUAGACAUGGGUUUGCCCAUUUCUCCCUGAACUCUUUGGUCUGCACUUCUCCCUCACCUGCAGUAGCAAACAUGACUCAAUGUUUCCUCACCUGGGGGCGGGGGAAGGCUGUGCUGAAAACUGCUGAGAAAACUGACACAACAAAAGGGAAAAUGGAACCGUACGUAUAAAAAGAGUCCACCUAGGGAUAGGUACCCUCCUGACCAGCAGGCAGGGUGUGAACUUAGCUGAAAGGUGGUCAAGCGUCCAUUGUUCUAUCACCUCAGGCCCCUCUUGAGCACCAACCCUUCUCAAGCCCUGUUGAUUUUGGCUGGAUAAAGUCAAGCAGGGGCUAGUCUGUCUACAUGAGACAUCUGACACGUGAAGAACAUGUGUCGGGAGAUGCAAUGUUAGCUGGGAAGGGAAGUUUUAAAAGACAAAGCCGGUGGCAGGCCAAAGGCUUUGCUAUACACUGGAGCUGUGUGAAGGAGCUGUGAAAUGACAGAAGAGACAUUUCAGCCCAUUAUAACCGCUCCAAGUCCAAGCCUGGCUCUGGAAGGCAGCUCCAUCCCAUUUCCAUUCCUCGCUGCCCUCUGGUUGCAAUCCCAAACAGUUUUAAACUGGAGAGGUGAAAUUGACAGAGCCUUUAGGGAGGCGAAGGUGAAAUUAACAAACACUUUGAGGAGUGAUCUCCGCCAGCUCUGUCUUUUUAAAUUAUGCUUCCUGGAUAACAUUGCGUCUCCCUACACUUGAACAUGCACUGAGGCGUCUCAUGUGCAGAGACUUUCAGAAUCAAAUUAGAGAGAGAUUAAAAAUGCUCUUUCCUUCCUGGACUGGACCCUGUCCGCCUGCAUCAUGAUGCAUGACACUGGUUCUCAUUGCUCUGUGCUGUGCUGAAUUACGUUUCAAAGUUGCACUGUUUCUAUUUUCAAGACGUGUGUUAAAACUUUAUAGUAUCCUAUUAGCAUUACAGUGUGCUCUCUUGCUGCUUUUUGGUUCAGUACAGAAUGACUGUUCUUAUAAAAAUUUCAAUAGCCACAAAGAUGUGGUGCUUGUUCAGUGACCAAGGAACUUGGGCGUAUUUGUCCUGAUGUAGCGCAUCUGAGCAUUCAGGUUAAUUGUUUAAUUGUAUUGUACAUAGCACAGACCUUUUAUAACAUGAAUGUUGAUCACACUGCAUUCAGACUGUUAUCCUGCCCUGCUUGUUGUCAUACCAUUUUUACUAUGUAUAAACAGCAGGAUUUGAGCCCAAUGGCUCUUUAGAGACCAAGAUUUUCAGGGAAUAAACUACUGAAAGUCAAAGCUCCCUUCUUCUGAUACUCUCAAAAGCUAAUACCCUGAAAAUCUUGUUGGUCUCUAAGAUGCCACUGGACUCAAAUCUUGCUGAUUUACUGCAGACCAACAUGGCUACCUACUUGAAAUUAUGUAUAACCAUAUUAAACUUGGACUUAGUUGCUUUCUAUUUGGCUGUAUUGAUUGAAUCUAUGAACCGCUUGGAUGCAUUCUUUAAUUUGUCGGUUUUAUUCUGCGCUCCCAUUCAAUCUGAUAUCCUUGUAUCCCUCUUGCCCUCCAUUACAUUACUUUUGACUCCAUUUUGAUGAAACUGCUGCUGCUGCUCAAUAAAGCCUUUUUUGCUUCUUA